Long non-coding RNA from Fopius arisanus, 341 nucleotides. RefSeq lists it as uncharacterized. The transcript is spliced from 2 exons. Lineage: Eukaryota; Metazoa; Arthropoda; Insecta; Hymenoptera; Braconidae. The record is from RefSeq and is a predicted model, not a curated record.
ACUUGAACUGGACGAUCUACUGGAUAAGGAACCGGCUGAAAUCGAAUGGAAACUAUUAUUUUUUCUGCUGUCUAUUCAAAUGAGUAAUUAUCCGAGGGGCGAAUUACUCGAGAAAAACUUUCAUGGAGAUGUUUUCCGAGAGAAACCUACCGACUUGAUAUAAAGUAAUUUGACAUUUCAUCUCGGCGUUAUUAAUUUCCACGAAUCGAGGAAUUAAUAACCCGUAAUUAUAAUCAUUUCCUGUGCAAUUAAUUCUCUUGGAAGUUUUUUCAGAGAAUCCACUUUUAUUUAUAAAUUUGCAUUCGAAUAAAUCCAAGACAAAUUGUCUAAAGACUACAGCA